UAUACAGCUCAGCACGAACUGGGUGAUAUGGAGUCAGUAUCCAUGCUGGGAAUUUCCAUUGGCAGAGUCACCGAGGUCCUGUUGCUUGAAGGGUGACAUGACAGGGGCCUCUCUGCCUGCCUGCCUUCCUGAGCUGCCCUAAUGCAGUGGGCAGGAGAGCACGAAUCUCACGUGGGCAAGGGGAAGGAAGGCAGAGCUACAAGAGCACUGGAUCUGGAGAGUCACUGCCUGAUCCUGGACAAGUCUCUUGGACAUCUGAGUUUCUGUUCCCUAUGAGUUAAUGGGUCAACAGGACUGCCCUGCCCCACAGGAGUGUUUUCAGGAUAAAUAUAGCAGAGAUGUGUGGGUGGCACAGCAUAUUUAUACUGACAACGUCAUUAGAAAGGCCUAAAAUCCACACAAACCCCGAGUGCAGAGUUUACCAGCUGUCUUGAAUGAAUUCCAAAUGACCUGCCAGACAUCACCUACUUGAACCCCUUCAACAAAACAGCUGGACUGUAACAGCAGGCCUAGAGCUGACAGGAGAUGCAAGAGCUUUUCAGUUUUGAAGAAUAAUUCCCCCCUUGAAUGGUAAUGCCAGGAAAUCUAACCUAUGUGAAAGUGCUGAAGUGGGGAAAACAAGUGGGGAAAGCCUGUGAACUUGGUCCAACACCCUUAACCCCUGGCAAAACCUCCAUUUUGUAAUGUGACUUGGAAGAUAAAUUACUCUAACAGGAGGUAUGAAGGUAAAUUA
Oenanthe melanoleuca is the source of this 733-nucleotide long non-coding RNA. RefSeq lists it as uncharacterized. The transcript is spliced from 3 exons. NCBI's taxonomy places the organism in Eukaryota, Metazoa, Chordata, Aves, Passeriformes, Muscicapidae. The record is from RefSeq and is a predicted model, not a curated record.